CGGAGGGUCCAAGCGUUAUCCGGAAUCAUUGGGUUUAAAGGGUCCGUAGGCGGUUUUGUAAGUCAGUGGUGAAAGCCCAUCGCUCAACGGUGGAACGGCCAUUGAUACUGCAAGACUUGAAUUAUUAGGAAGUAACUAGAAUAUGUAGUGUAGCGGUGAAAUGCUUAGAUAUUACAUGGAAUACCAAUUGCGAAGGCAGGUUACUACUAAUGGAUUGACGCUGAUGGACGAAAGCGUGGGGAGCGAACAGGAUUAGAUACCCUGGUAGUCCACGCCGUAAACGAUGGAUACUAGCUGUUCGGAGCAAUCUGAGUGGCUAAGCGAAAGUGAUAAGUAUCCCACCUGGGGAGUACGUUCGCAAGAAUG
RNAcentral lists this ribosomal RNA (366 nucleotides) under uncultured organism. Its description in RNAcentral is "bacterial SSU rRNA". It matches the Rfam family "Bacterial small subunit ribosomal RNA", at positions 526 to 896 of the family's 1533-position model. The record is from RNAcentral.